CCCUUAGAUGUUCUGGGCCGCACACGCGCUACACUGAAGGAGGCAGCGUGCACUCCUGGAUCGAAAGAUUUGGGUAACCCGCGAAUCUCCUUCGUGCUAGGGAUUGAGGUUUGCAAUUAUCCUUCAUGAACGAGGAAUUCCCAGUAAGUGCAAGUCAUAAGCUUGCGCUGACUACGUCCCUGCCCUUUGUACACACCGCCCGUCGCUACUACCGAUUGAAUGAUUUAGUGAGGACUUCGGACUGGGACCGAUGCGGCUUUCGGGCUGCGUCGGUAUUCUGGAAAGAUGUCCAAACUGUAUCAUUUAGAGGAAGUAAAAGUCGUAACA
This 327-nucleotide ribosomal RNA is filed under the name uncultured eukaryote. Its description in RNAcentral is "partial 18S ribosomal RNA". It matches the Rfam family "Eukaryotic small subunit ribosomal RNA", at positions 1470 to 1796 of the family's 1831-position model. The record is from RNAcentral.